Molecule: transfer RNA, 74 nt
Filed under: Phycisphaerae bacterium
Lineage: Bacteria; Pseudomonadati; Planctomycetota; Phycisphaerae
Also listed under: 1 other name
Description: tRNA-His
Rfam family: tRNA
About the family: Transfer RNA (tRNA) molecules are approximately 80 nucleotides in length. Their secondary structure includes four short double-helical elements and three loops (D, anti-codon, and T loops). Further hydrogen bonds mediate the characteristic L-shaped molecular structure. tRNAs have two regions of fundamental functional importance: the anti-codon, which is responsible for specific mRNA codon recognition, and the 3' end, to which the tRNAs corresponding amino acid is attached (by aminoacyl-tRNA synthetases). tRNAs cope with the degeneracy of the genetic code in two manners: having more than one tRNA (with a specific anti-codon) for a particular amino acid; and 'wobble' base-pairing, i.e. permitting non-standard base-pairing at the 3rd anti-codon position.
Source: RNAcentral
GUGAAAGUAGCUCAGCUGGUUAGAGCACUGGAUUGUGGAUCCAGGGGUCGCGGGUUCGAAUCCCGUCUUUCACC